GGGUCUGAAUACUUUCCGAAUGCACUGUAUACUGCUAUAUAGGGUCUAUGAUAUGAUGUACAGUGCUCCAAGCCACCAUGAUAAAGGAAACAAACAACGUAUCCGCAACUUACACACGACCACAUUAUGAGUGCUGAAUGGAAAAAGUCUUAGUCAUAUGUUUAGUCUGUCUGUGCCACCAUUUUAGAGUCAUUGACCGGAAAAUAUGGAUGGUAGAACCAGGGAAUGUGAUUGUAAUGACAUUAAAACAAAUAAAGUGUUAAGUCACCAGAAUAUAAUGAGAGCAGCCUGUCACAUACCUCUAACAUGUGGAUGGACCAGGAUGUGGGUUAGUCAGUAUGAACCAUAUGUCUGAAACAAGCAUACCAGGGCCCAUAUCCAUAAAGGAUCAGGUCCCACAUGUUCAUACAAUCAUAAUCAUUAUAGUCUGAAAGGCUAAACAAACUGAGAUGCUUUAAGAAUACAGUCCCAGGUUCCAGUCACUUAUCUUAUCUCUGUUGUAUUCUUAAACUUUUUUCGCUGUAGGCUUUUCUAUGUGGUAGAAAAGGCUUCUCUCUGCUUUCAGACAUGAGCUAAAGUGUGUGUGUGUGUCCGUGCGUUAACCCUUUUCUAUUUACCGGUUGGUUGUAACAGAAGGCAAAGGGGACUUGGGAGUGACCUCCUAUUUGACUGAUGCUGAUGGUAACGUGAUCAUUGGUUCUAAAAGUAGAACUACCACUCCAUCAGAGAGGAGGAAGUCAGUCACUGGGAAGAACAUGCAUAAGAGAGAGGCCUCCAGAGUAGGAGGGGCAGAAAGAGGAAAACAAGACUGAGAAGGAGGAAGAAAAGAUGGUGGAGGACAAAACUGAUGCUGUACCCACAACCACAGACAAGAAAGAGGCUGCCCUGGCUCUCUGCAAGCAGGAGACCCUGCAGCAACCCACUGCUACAGCAGAUGAGGCAAAACCAGAUGAUGUCCCCACAUCUGAGAAACUGGCAGAGAAACCACAGAC
Long non-coding RNA from Coregonus clupeaformis (lake whitefish), 992 nucleotides. RefSeq lists it as uncharacterized. The record is from RefSeq and is a predicted model, not a curated record. The transcript is spliced from 2 exons. NCBI's taxonomy places the organism in Eukaryota, Metazoa, Chordata, Actinopteri, Salmoniformes, Salmonidae.